Molecule: small nucleolar RNA, 139 nt
Organism: Phragmites australis (common reed)
Lineage: Eukaryota; Viridiplantae; Streptophyta; Magnoliopsida; Poales; Poaceae
Product: small nucleolar RNA Z247
Exons: 1
Source: RefSeq, a predicted model, not a curated record
CCAUUGGAGGACGAUGAGCUCAUAUUGUACAUGAUGCGCGGACUAGGAUCAGAAUUUGAUCCACUGGUGACGAGCAUUACAAGUAGGGCCGAUCCAAUGACGGUCAACGAUGUUUAUGCACAUAUGCUUAGCUUUGCAU